UACGUAGGAGGCAAGCGUUAUCCGGAUUUAUUGGGCGUAAAGCGCACGCAGGCGGUCGCGUAAGUCGGACGUGAAAGCUCCCGGCUCAACCGGGAGAGGUCGCUCGAUACUGCGUGACUUGAGGUUGGGAGAGGGGAGUGGAAUUCCCGGUGUAGUGGUGGAAUGCGUAGAUAUCGGGAGGAACACCAGUGGCGAAAGCGACUCCCUGGCCCACACCUGACGCUCAGGUGCGAAAGCGUGGGUAGCGAACGGG
RNAcentral lists this ribosomal RNA (253 nucleotides) under uncultured bacterium. Its description in RNAcentral is "partial 16S ribosomal RNA". It matches the Rfam family "Bacterial small subunit ribosomal RNA", at positions 524 to 776 of the family's 1533-position model. The record is from RNAcentral.